GCAGAGGACAGUGGUAGAUAUUCUGGUA
RNAcentral lists this non-coding RNA (28 nucleotides) under Rattus norvegicus (Norway rat). Lineage: Eukaryota; Metazoa; Chordata; Mammalia; Rodentia; Muridae. The record is from RNAcentral.